This 799-nucleotide ribosomal RNA is filed under the name uncultured Rhizophagus. RNAcentral's name for it is "SSU rRNA". It matches the Rfam family "Eukaryotic small subunit ribosomal RNA", at positions 314 to 1114 of the family's 1831-position model. The record is from RNAcentral. Lineage: Eukaryota; Fungi; Glomeromycota; Glomeromycetes; Glomerales; Glomeraceae.
AUCAACUUUCGAUGGUAGGAUAGAGGCCUACCAUGGUGGUAACGGGUAACGGGGUGUUAGGGCACGACACCGGAGAGGGAGCCUGAGAAACGGCUACCACAUCCAAGGAUGGCAGCAGGCGCGCAAAUUACCCAAUCCCGACACGGGGAGGUAGUGACAAUAAAUAACAAUACGGGGUUCUUUUGGAUUUCGUAAUUGGAAUGAGUACAAUUUAAAUCUCUUAACGAGGAACAAUUGGAGGGCAAGUCUGGUGCCAGCAGCCGCGGUAAUUCCAGCUCCAAUAGCGUAUAUUAAAGUUGUUGCAGUUAAAAAGCUCGUAGUUGAAUUUCGGGGUUAGUAGGCUGGUCAUGCCACAGGUAUGCACUGGUCUUACUGAUUCCUCCUUCCUGAUGAACCGUAAUGCCAUUAAUUUGGUGUUGCGGGGAGUCUGGACUGUUACUUUGAAAAAAUUAGAGUGUUUAAAGCAGGCUAACGCUUGAAUACAUUAGCAUGGAAUAACGAAAUAGGACGUUCGAUCUUAUUUUGUUGGUUUCUAGGAUUGACGUAAUGAUUAAUAGGGAUAGUUGGGGGCAUUAGUAUUCAAUUGUCAGAGGUGAAAUUCUUGGAUUUAUUGAAGACUAACUACUGCGAAAGCAUUUGCCAAGGAUGUUUUCAUUAAUCAAGAACGAAAGUUAGGGGAUCGAAGACGAUCAGAUACCGUCGUAGUCUUAACCAUAUACUAUGCCGACUAGGGAUCGGAUGAUGUUAAUUUUAUAAUGACUCAUUCGGCGCCUUACGGGAAACCAAAGUGUUUGGGUUC